AAUAAGUGCAUCCGAGCUAAAUUGUCACGUUUGUUCCGCUACAUUCCAGCCUCUACCAAACAAACAAACUGUCAUACAGCCCAUAAUACAGCCAACAUUAUAUUAUGGGUCAUGUUUACGAUGUACGAGUUUUUUUAAGUGUCGUAAGGUAAAUAAAGACGUAGAAGCUCUGUGCUGCGUUCACGUGUUGAUCACCACGUCAGACAUCGAGCAGUUGCCAUGGCAACUAGAGGUUUGACUGACCACUCAUCAACUAGCAUCAUGACUGAGCGCUGGAUACUUUCUGUUAAAAAAAAAAAAAGAACUACACUCUUCAUGAUGAAUUCACGGUUUUACAUUUACGUCAGUUUUACUUUUACGGGAGGUACGUGAAGGCAACAGAUGGUGCGUGAUGACGACAGCAAACAUGGCGGACGUGUCUUUGCGAGCAGAGCUGCAGCUCAAAGACGGACAGAGACAGAAAAUCAGCGUUCAACUUCAAAACACACUUUGUUCUCUCGUGUGUGGAAUUAACGAGCUGAACGUGAACGUUUCACAGCUACUCACUCAGCUAGUGGACAGAGAAAAAGACACUCGACACUGCGAAGAAGGUGAUGAAGAGGAGGAUAGUGAUGAAGAGGAGUCACUGUGUCAGCGUCCUCCAGUGAAAAGACUGAAACCCUGAAAUACCUGCUGUCGACUGUCAGAUCAGUGAAAUCAAAUAAAGGCGUCUUCUUGUUCGUCUGAUCACUCUCCGUUUUUAAAUUGUCCUCUGAUGACAAACCUGGCAACACAAGGAUGGACAUAUUAGAGAGGACAGAUUAGAGCAGGCCGAGGACAGAGAAGAGCAGGGCGAGGACAGAGAAGAGCAGGCCGAGGACAGAUUACAGCAGGUAGAGGACAGAUUACAGCAGGUAGAGGACAGAUUACAGCAGGUAGAGAAGAGAUUACAGCAGGUUAAGGACAGAUAAGAGCAGGCCGAGGACAGAGAAGAGCAGGUAGAGGACAGAUUACAGCAAGUAGAGGACAGAUAAGAGCAGGUAGAGGACAGAUAAGAGCAGGUCGAGAAAGCACCUUAAACAUUGUGGUCAC
Molecule: long non-coding RNA, 1071 nt
Organism: Solea senegalensis (Senegalese sole)
Lineage: Eukaryota; Metazoa; Chordata; Actinopteri; Pleuronectiformes; Soleidae
Exons: 3
Source: RefSeq, a predicted model, not a curated record